AGCUGGUCAGAUGGUAGUGGGUUAUGGUUAUCAGAACUUAUUAACAUUAGUGUCACUGAAGUUGGCAUUCAAUCCCCCCACUGCUAAAUUUGACUGGCUUUUA
RNAcentral lists this Y RNA (103 nucleotides) under Colobus angolensis palliatus. RNAcentral's name for it is "Y RNA (ENSCANG00000010468.1)". It matches the Rfam family "Y RNA". Rfam says of the family: Y RNAs are components of the Ro ribonucleoprotein particle (Ro RNP), in association with Ro60 and La proteins. Lineage: Eukaryota; Metazoa; Chordata; Mammalia; Primates; Cercopithecidae. The record is from Rfam by way of RNAcentral.